Molecule: small nuclear RNA, 101 nt
Organism: Camelus dromedarius (Arabian camel)
Lineage: Eukaryota; Metazoa; Chordata; Mammalia; Artiodactyla; Camelidae
Source: Ensembl
GUGCUUGCUUCAGCAGCACAUAAAUUGGAAUGAUACAGAAAAAAUUAGCAUGGCUUCUGAACAAGAAUUACAUGCAGAUUAUUGAAGUGUUCCAUAUUUUU